AGUCGAGGGGUAACGGAAGUAGCUUGCUACUAGACGACGACCGGCGCACGGGUGAGUAACGCGUAUGUAAUCUGCCUUGUACAGAGGGAUAGCCCAGAGAAAUUUGGAUUAAUACCUCAUAGUAUUACCGAAUCGCAUGAUUUGGUAAUUAAAGCUCCGGCGGUACAAGACGAACAUGCGUGACAUUAGCUAGUUGGUAAGGUAACGGCUUACCAAGGCUACGAUGUCUAGGGGUUCUGAGAGGAUGAUCCCCCACACUGGUACUGAGACACGGACCAGACUCCUACGGGAGGCAGCAGUGAGGAAUAUUGGUCAAUGGACGCAAGUCUGAACCAGCCAUCCCGCGUGAAGGAUGACUGCCCUAUGGGUUGUAAACUUCUUUUAUAUGCAAAUAAACCUACUUUCGUGAAAGUAGCUGAAGGUAGCAUAUGAAUAAACACCGGCUAACUCCGUGCCAGCAGCCGCGGUAAUACGGAGGGUGUAAGCGUUAUCCGGAUAUAUUGGGUUUAAAGGGUACGUA
Molecule: ribosomal RNA, 520 nt
Filed under: uncultured bacterium
Lineage: Bacteria
Description: bacterial SSU rRNA
Rfam family: Bacterial small subunit ribosomal RNA
Source: RNAcentral